Molecule: long non-coding RNA, 1624 nt
Organism: Oryctolagus cuniculus (rabbit)
Lineage: Eukaryota; Metazoa; Chordata; Mammalia; Lagomorpha; Leporidae
Source: Ensembl
AAAAUAAAAAAGAGCAGGGUGCGUCCAUUUGUAACAGCAGGGCAUGCGGGGCAGGCCUUCGGCCUUGGGGUGGAGACACCGCUGGGGCGUACUCAGCCACAUGGCAGUGCUUGCCUUUGAGUGCCAGCUCUGCUCUCAGGUGCUUUCUGCCGCUGAGCAUCCUGGGAAGCAACAGGGAUGGCUCAGGGAGUUGGGCUCUGGUCACGUGGACUGAGCUCCCAGCUCCCAGUUUUGGUCUGGUCCUGCCCUGGCUGUUGCAGGCGUUUGGAGAGUGAACCAGCAGAUGGGAGUUCAGGCUGACUCUCAGAUUCCAAAAUGAAACAUAGUGCAUCUGUUAAUGGUGUGAAAAUUCAGCUCCCCCUUUCUUUUUUAUUUAUUAUUAUUAUUUGACAGGUAGAGUUAUAGACAGUGAGAGAGAGAGAGACAGAGAGAAAUGUCUUCCUUCCGUUGGUUCACCCCUCAAAUGGUCACUAUGGCCGGCGCACUGUGCUGAUCCGAAGCCCGGAGCCAGGUGCUUCUCCUGGUCUCCCAUGCGGUGCAGGGCCCAAGCACCUGGGCCAUCCUCCACUGCACUCUCUGGCCACAGCAGAGAGCUGACCUGGAAGAGGAGCAACUGGGACUGGAACCCGGCGUCCAUAUGCAGGUGGAAGAUUAACCAAGUGAGCCACGGCGCCGGCCCCAACACCCCGUUUCUUAUAUGGGUUGUUAUUAGAGGCUGUACUGGUGGAGCUGGAUUGCUGCAACACGGCGUGGCCCAUGAGGCUACAGUCGUUCACAUCUGGCCUUGAGCAGAAAAGGUGUCUUCACCCCUGGUCUACCAGGAACUCCAGUGCCAGGGACUCAGGCCUCUUCCAUGGUGGGGACUGGGCUCCACCACUCUGAGGGACACAUUCCUGGACUGUGGCUCGUCACCAUGCCCGCGUUUAAAGCAGCCAGGAGGACACGGAAGGAACAUGGAGGAGAAUGGUCGAUGCUCUCCCGAAGGGGCAGAACCUUAGUAGCUGGACCCUUCUAGCUGCAAGGGAGGCUGGGAAAUGAGCCUGCCUAAAACCUGGAGACCUGCUACUCCUGUGGACGGGAAGCUGUGCCGGGAAUCUUCAGGAAAGCCAGAACUGAGUCUCCCACACUCUGAGAGAAUCAUGUCUCUUUGCUUCGACUUUUGUGCCACACAGAACAAAUGGUGAGAGGUUUUGGAGUCAGAAGACUGAAGCUUGACUCCCAGCCGCUUGCCCAGUCGCUUGCUGGCUUUGGACAGGUCAACCCCAGUCCUCGCUUAUAAAAUGGGGGGAGCGCUUGCCUUACAGGUUGUUGUGAGUGUCUGUGGGUUUAAGAAGUAGACACUACAGCAUGAGCUGUAAAGUGUUAGUAACGUGGGAGGGGUGGCUGUUAGGGUCACGGGCAGCCGCUCCGUUUCUCAUCAGAUGAUGGACGCAUGCGUCUCUCUCAGCUGGAGUCUCUGCUGGAGAUCACGCUCACUGGAGACCAGGAGGGGACAAGUGAGGCUCACCUGACUUCAUACCAGGUGUCCUGAGAUUGGACUUUUUUUUAAAUAUAGGUGAAGGUGUAUAUACUUUGUGUGUGUGUGUGGUUUUUUUAAAAGAUUUAUUUAUCUAUUUGAAAGACA